This is a long non-coding RNA of Oreochromis aureus, 314 nucleotides long. The record is from Ensembl. NCBI's taxonomy places the organism in Eukaryota, Metazoa, Chordata, Actinopteri, Cichliformes, Cichlidae.
GGGCGUAUGAUGUGGAAAAGGAGCUGUGUUGUGGUCCGAUUAGUGAUAAGAAGAUCCUAACAAGGAACUCUCCAGAUCACAUGUGCUGUCAUCAGGGCCAGUUCAACAGCAAGACUGAAUGUUGCUGCUGGAAGGAUGAUGGUGCUGAGAUACAACCGAGGAAUUCAUCUUGCUGUAUGCAACAAGAGGCACCUGUGUUCCAACCCAACUGGUAAGUUAACUGUGGCUUUGCCUUAGACUAACGGUGCGUUCACACCGAACGCGAUAGAGGCGGCCAGAGCGUCAGGUUUACAUGUAAAGUCAAUGGAAAGAGC